UACGGAGGGUGCGAGCGUUAAUCGGAAUUACUGGGCGUAAAGGGUGCGUAGGUGGUUUAUUAAGUUAUCUGUGAAAUCCCUGGGCUCAACCUGGGCAGGUCAGAUAAGACUGGUAAACUCGAGUAUGGGAGAGGGUAGUGGAAUUUCCGGUGUAGCGGUGAAAUGCGUAGAGAUCGGAAGGAACACCAGUGGCGAAGGCGGCUACCUGGCCUAAUACUGACACUGAGGCACGAAAGCGUGGGGAGCAAAC
This 250-nucleotide ribosomal RNA is filed under the name uncultured bacterium. Its description in RNAcentral is "partial 16S ribosomal RNA". It matches the Rfam family "Bacterial small subunit ribosomal RNA", at positions 524 to 773 of the family's 1533-position model. The record is from RNAcentral.